Paramormyrops kingsleyae is the source of this 1140-nucleotide non-coding RNA. The record is from RefSeq and is a predicted model, not a curated record. NCBI's taxonomy places the organism in Eukaryota, Metazoa, Chordata, Actinopteri, Osteoglossiformes, Mormyridae.
GGGAAUUUUUUGCUACUUUAUCUAGUACAUUUAGUAACACAGUAAUCAUGACCCCUAAGAAAGUGAGCAGUGAUAGCAGCAAACCAAAUAAGAAAGUAGCGAGAGUAACUGCAGAACUUAAAAAGGAAAUUAUAGCUCAACCAGCCUCCUAGAAUAAAUUAAGUUCAUGGUCCAUGGUAUCACUGUAUUAUUAUUAUUAUUGUUACAUAUUAUGGACAGACUGACUGAGACAGAUAUGAUUACAUGGUGAAAUAAUCAGUAAUUAAUUCAUAGGUUCUUAUAAUCUAUAAUACUUUCAUUAAUUUCAUUGGUUGUAGAUUCAUUUUUAUUUAGCAUGUAUAUUAUGAAAUUGUAUAUGUUAGAAUUAAGUUAUAUGAAACGUUUUGACUGAUGUUUUGACCUGGGGGUAUUCCACAAAACAAGAUUUCUCAGUUAGUUGGAUAAAUUAAACCUGAAGUCAUGAUAGUCCAAUAACAGCUUAGGUAAGAAGCAUUCCUAUUGGACAGUCUUGACUUCUGGCUUUUAAUUUUGUGGAAUACCCUCCUGGUCAUCCACAGCAAAAGGAGUUUCACAAACACCCAAACAGGGAGAGCUGUCUACAGCUUUACAGCAGACAGAAAGUAUUACUUCAUCUACACAGCAGAGAGAUGGUUUAACUUCAGCAACAAAACACCCAACAGGAUGGGCUGGGACCACAUGUCCCUCUGGUUCCUUGACUUCCACCACUAAUGACAAUCUGAGCACCACACAGUCACCAAGUCAGAUGCUCCUUCUGCUGACGUUGGUGAUGAUUCUGUUGCUGGUGACCACUGUCAUGGUUAUCUGGAUUCUGCGAAGAAGAACCAAAACGCUGAUCAGUAACAGAAACAGACCCAGCCACCCUACCACAGAGCCUGGAGAUGAGGUGACCUACAGCACCAUGGUCUCUAAGAAACCUUCAGCUCAAAGUUCCUCUGUAGACUCCAAGGAUGAAGUGACAUACAGCUCAGUAACUCUCCAGGACAAUCAGAGUAAGAUUCACCUGUAUAACAACAGCAAAUAUGAGACUACAAUAACCUAAAGCCAUCUAUUAGGAUGUAAGUAAAACAUGAAAUGAUAAAUCUCCACCUUACCACGGUGGAGGGGUUUGUGUGUCCCAGU